This 5477-nucleotide long non-coding RNA is filed under the name Olea europaea (common olive). Its description in RNAcentral is "long non-coding RNA (OEUR_LNC004348)". Lineage: Eukaryota; Viridiplantae; Streptophyta; Magnoliopsida; Lamiales; Oleaceae. The record is from RNAcentral.
CCUUCAAAUUUCAAUUUUACGAUUUCCUCGUCCUUCCAUUUCGCGUGGAUUGCAUCGGUUAAUGCUUGUGUUAUUCCCGCUGCCCCGACUUUCAUUCUCUCUACCAUCCUCAAUGCCACAUUUCUAAGCCUCUUCAGUUCAGGUUCCGGUAUCAAUUUUUCUGCCAACUCUGUAUUACUCUUCCUUAACUUCUCCUCUUUCACAGGGUCCUCAUUAGUUCCUCUCUGCCAUGGUAAUCUCAUAGAAUCACUAACAUCAUCUGAUCCUUUUUUACUGCUGAAUUCUUGAGAAAUGCUCCGUGAAUCCUCCACAAAAAAGGCAUCUUCACUCUCGUCUUCAAUCAAAAUCUCAUAUUUUUCUGAUAAUCCUAUAGGGAUAGUAUCAACCUUGCCACUUGUUUCAUCACAAUUGCAAUCUAAUUUAACUCCCUUUAUCAAAUCCCCAGAGUCUUCAACAACACUACCAAAAGCUUCAUCAUUUUUACAAUGCUCAGAAAACCCAUCAAGGUUUUGCCCUCUAUGAUUACUUUCUUCUUGAAUUUUUUCUGUAGCUUGAGAAUCAGGCAAGUCCUUCCUUGGUUUAUUUCCAUGAACCCAAGGAGCUAAAAUCGACUUAUUUCUUGAACUAGAGCUCGCAGAGCUAUCCCCAGAAGUAUUAUCCUCACUUACUGUCACAGUAACGACACCCUCAGAUAACGGCAGCAGAUGUUCUUCAUAAUCCUGAAUCGAAUCAUCACUCUCUUGUUUAUGUUCUUCCCAAGGGAAUUUCUCUCUUAAAGAAGGGAUUUUGAGGGACCAUUUAUCUUGAAUUUUUUCAAUAAAGCUUGGCCUGGGUUUUCUCUUCUUCUUUACAGGGUUGGUUUCGUGUUGAACGGAUUUUGUGCAAGAAAUUUUCAAUUUUUGACCUCGAAAUCUGUUUGAACAAUGGGGUUGUGAGUGAAAUGUGAUCAAGUAGAAAGAUUGAGAAGAAUAUGAAGAUGAAGCAGAGAACAAAUUCGAAGGCAGGGGUGAAGGAGCCAUGGUGAUGAGGUUGAAGAAUCUCUGCGAGAACGAGCCUUAAAAAGAUGGCCUGAAAAUUUCUGACUAACCCAAAUUGCCAAUGAAAAUGGGUUUAGGAAUUUUACAUAAAUAGCAUUAAAUGUGGGAAACUAUGAUCACUUGGCAUCUUAAUAGUUAAUAGAAUAGAACUAAUGAAUAGCUCAAGCACUUUACCUUAAAAAUUUUAAAUUAUCUAAUAGGGAUGGGAAAAUAUUUCGCGACCGCCCGAUAUUACAGUGUCCUAUCUCGAACAGAAGGAAAUUUCUACUUCAUUAGAAGAUCAUGGGAAUGAAGAACAUGGUCCCUGUCCCAAAUUUCUUAUACAUUCCUAAAUCUUAUAAUUUUAGAAAAUAUUAAAAAAAUAAUUAAAUAACAUAUUAAAUGGAGAUAUUAUAAUUCACGCUUCUCUCUUCUUCUCUCGAUAAUCUUGUCAAAGCGGUCUCAUUUGCUUGACCUUAUACCUUUAAUUUUUUAUUUUUUAAGACAAUAUCAAACACACCUCUCGAACUUUUACGCGCAAUCACUUUUACUCAUACCUCAUAUAAGUUGGGUUUAUUAUCAAGUAAAGAAGAAAUUUUCUACAAUUCGUGCAGUUAUGGUUAAUUCGUUCAAAGUAAACUAUGUAAAUAUAAAUUGACAUAUAGUAAAUAGAAUUCGUUUGACGUUGUUUAAAUUUAACUAUAUGUAUUUAGUUAUUUUGUUUAUAGGUAGGAUUACUUUUGUGAACAUUUAUGUUUAGACAUAUAUCAAAUUUAAUUUGACAAAUUAGUUAUUUACGAGUAUAAAUAAAUAUCAAAUAAUAAAAAAUGAUAUUAUGAUAUUCUUUUGAAAUAUUUUAAUGAUUAAUAUAUUAAAAUUCGACUGUAUAACAAUGUCAUCAUUAAAUAAUAAAUUCUGAGGGUAUGCAAUGAUUUAAUGAAUUAAUGUAUACUAUAUUUUAAUUAAAUUUUACUUGAAUUGAUUCAAAAUAAUAUGUUUAGUAGACAAAUAAGUGUACUUCAAGAUAUAUUUUUCUUCUAGGUGGAGGAGUUGUAUCUUCGAGAACUAGUAAGAAGUUAUAAUUGCAUCUACUACAAUGAAGGUAGAACUAAUUGGUUUCUAUAAAGCUACAACACUCACAUUAUUGUUGGGAAAUUUCAUCAAAGCGUUAAACGUUGUUGAUACUAUAGGGAAGCCUUUGAAGAUUUAUUGCGAUAGUUCGAUUGUACUUUUCUUUUCAAAAAAUAAUAAAAGUAGAAGUCGAAGUAAAAAUAUCACUAUAAAAUAUCUGGUUGUUAGAGAUCAUAAAAUGAAAAAUAAAGUGAUCAAUGAGCAUAUCAAGAAAGAUUUUGUGAUAGCAGAUCACGUGACUAAAGGCUUGUCAGAUAAAGUUCAUGAAUAGCUUGUUGAGAACAUGAGAUUUGCUUGCACUAUCAUGGUACUCUAAUUUUUUGUGUUUAAGAUUGUUUUUUCUAUGUUUUAAACGAUGUUAUUGGUGCAAAGUUUAUGAUCGAUAUUCAAUUGUGAUUAUUAAAGUUUAGACCCAAAAUGACUUUAGGAAGUUUAUUCAUAAAAUAAAGUAUUCUUUCAUAAGUGAACGUACUUGUAAUUUAUGGAAGGAAAUAUUUGGUUAUGAAAAAAGGACAUUCAUGAUUCAAGUAUUGUGAGUUUCUAUUUGAACAAGUUAUUGGCAAUUUCACUAAUGAUAACAUCGAGUAUCCACCUUAAAGUUGUGGACCAAGUGAAAAAAUAAAACCAUUUAUGGUCUCAUAUUCAAUUUAAAGUAUGAUUUUAAUUAAUGGUGGCUUAAUUAACUUCACAUAUGGUUUAUUAAAUGGAUGGAAGUUGUGUAGUGGUUGUCUACAUUAAAAUGUCAAUGGAUCCCUAGCCAAAUUUGAUACAAAAUUCCUUCAGAAUUUUUUUCUAUUAAGUAAAAAAUCAUUUGUUUGUUCCAUUAAGUAAAGGGUGUUAUCAAGUGGGUCAUGGCAAGAAGGCUUGUUGGAGCCACCGGCUAGCACUAACAGUGGUCCAUGUUGAAUCCGUCGUAUUAUAAAAAAUAAAAAAUAAAUAAAAAAGAUUUGUGUCAAUUUAUAUAUUUGUUUCGAUAUAUAUCUAUAAUUUCAUUUAUUCUCUUGCCGCUCGGCUGGUUAGAGCAUCUGUUUAGUGAGUUGGAGGUCUUAAGUAUUGGCGGAUCGAACAUUCGAGGUCCUGAUCCGCCACUGAUUGGAGCUAUGCGAUUUUUUUACUGCCAAUUUUCAAUUGUUAAAUCUUAGAAAAUAUGUAUGGAUGUACUCAUUUAAUGUGUUACCCUCUGUGUGUAUCAAAUAUGAAUUAUUCUGAUAGACAAAUAUCCGUGCAAAAAAAAAUAGAUCAAGUCUUAGAGGAAGACAAAAUGAUUACAUAAUAUAAGGGGUACCCCAUGUAACGUCCCAAGUCAAUUACUCUUUUAUUUUAUUUAUAAAAACAUAGAAAUGUUACCAAAUAUCUCCUCUAUCUAAUUUAAGCAAAAUUUUCUCUCUUUUUAUUAUUUAUUUGAUUUGAUCAGUAAAUUGAUAAAGAUAAUUCAACGAUUUAAAUUGACCAAUAAAUUGAUAAAGAUAAUCCAAAGGUUUAAAUAAAUUUAAAUAUGUUGUGAAAAGAGAAGAAAACAGAAAGAAAUCAAUAGACUUGUGUGUAUUUUAUUAAGAACCAAAGCUCUGUAUUUAUGGGGCAGAAUCAGGGAUACAACAGUAAUUAUUUCUAGGGCUGCAAGGGUGUAAUUGCCAUUCACCUCUAAACCCUAAUAAACUUUCCUUUUACAACACUCCCCCUUGAAUGACAUAUUACAAAAUAUCUGCCUCGUUAAAAUCUUGUUUGAUAAAAAUCUAAUGGGACAAAAAUCAAAAAGAGUACAGUUAUUUUAGAGUACUAAAAAUAAAUGCUGCCUCAUUAAAAUCUUGCUAGGAAAAAUCAGUGGGACAAAACCUAAGCUAAGGAAAAUAGUACAGCUACUCCCCCUGACGUUGAUCACUGAAAAUCUUUGAGUCGACGCUAAAUAAUGAUGUUUUGGGAUUAUGUUGGGAAAAAGUGACAUUCAUUCAAAUAUAUAAUUUUCACAAUUAUUAGUUUUUUGAACUUUUAUAUUUCUCUUUCUUAAGACUAUAGUUACAUUGUUGUUUGGUUCUUUCUUUGGAAGGUUAUUUUUGAAAUGUAGGCGGGGCAGUUGGAUAAAAAUUAGUAAUUAACAUAACCCGAAAGCAACUAGUACAUGAUCUAUUUCAAACCUUAAGUUCUUCCGCCAUCCUUUCAUUCAAAGUAUUUUGUACACCGCGUUUGAUGGCUAUCUUUGCAAUAGCACUCUUCUUCCAUAACUUCACCAUGGCCAUAGCAAGACCUUGCAAUUCUCUGUUUCUUCCUAGAUCAUUAAGCAAAUAUAGCUAAUAAAAAACAAAAAUCUGAAUAUUAAAUAAAUUCACAUAUCAUGUUGAGCAUACCGAGGGCAAAAUGUGGAAGCAUUUUUCUGGCAGUUCUGCGAAAAUAUGUCAUUUCUUUGUUCCGUAAUGCUUGUCUAACCCCAUUGGGAAGUAGUCUAAAUGGGGGUCUAUAUCCUGGAACGACAGCAGGCAGCAAGUCUGCAUCAACAGGCAGCGGUUCCGGACCUGACCAAUCUAUGAACCUUGGACCAAGCUCGUCUAAAAGAAGGUUGAGCUCACUUAGAUCCAUUAGCUCCUCUUCAGAUAGACCAUUCAAAUACUUAGAAGUAUAAUUUUGAGAUGAUUCUGCAGCUCCAGAUAACAGUUUCACGUUACCGCAUUGAGUAACAUCAUUAACAGAAUCUGACGAAGAUCUAGCCUCAAUAUCAGCUUGAAUACGUUUACUAUAUGCUUGCACACAAUCAAGUUGGUAAGACAUUCCUCUGUAUAGAACUACCGAACUUCCUGAUCUCCAUAUAACCAAACCUCCAGUUCUAGCCUAACAAUUAAACAGCACAAUAUAUGGAAGAAGAAAUACACUUCAUCAUGAAUUCUUGUAAACCGUGAUACAAAUAAAUCGUAAAAUUGAAAUUUGAAGAGAAACUACAAUGGUAAGAAUGUAAUGAACAAAGAAAUAGUUUAAUGCUCACGAAAUUAGCAAUUCAACUUGAAGGCAGCAUUUACCCACUAGUACAAUAAACAUUUAUUACAAUUGGCAGUUAAAUCAUUCUUCUCUACUAAAAAACUUAAGAUAAGUGGACACUUACCUCAAGAAUCUCAUGUGUCCUCUUCAUGUUCUUUGAAGGAGGCCCUUCAAAUUUCAAUUUUACGAUUUCCUCGUCCUUCCAUUUCGCGUGGAUUGCAUCGGUUAAUGCUUGUGUUAUUCCCGCUGCCCCGACUUUCAUUCUCUCUACCAUCCUCAAUGCCACAUUUCUAAGCCUCUUCAGUUCAGGUUCCGGUAUCAAUUUUUCUGCCAACUCUGUAUUACUCUUCCUUAACUUCUCCUCUU